This 77-nucleotide transfer RNA is filed under the name Aestuariivita sp. Its description in RNAcentral is "tRNA-Arg". It matches the Rfam family "tRNA". Rfam says of the family: Transfer RNA (tRNA) molecules are approximately 80 nucleotides in length. RNAcentral also lists the same sequence under 4 other names. The record is from RNAcentral. Lineage: Bacteria; Pseudomonadati; Pseudomonadota; Alphaproteobacteria; Rhodobacterales; Paracoccaceae.
GGUCCCGUAGCUCAACUGGAUAGAGCACCUGACUUCUAAUCAGGGGGUUGAGGGUUCGAGUCCUUCCGGGAUCGCCA